GAUGAAGAACGCAGCGAAAUGCGAUAAGUAAUGUGAAUUGCAGAAUUCAGUGAAUCAUCGAAUCUUUGAACGCACAUUGCGCCCGCCAGUAUUCUGGCGGGCAUGCCUGUUCAAGCGUCAUUUCAACCAUCAAGCCCCCGGCUUGUGUUGGGGACCUGCGGCUGCCGCAGGCCCUGAAAACCAGUGGCGGGCUCGCUGUCACACCGAGCGUAGUAGAUUUUCAUCUCGCUCAGGGCGUGCUGCGGGUUCCGGCCGUAAAAAGCCUUAUUUACCCAAGGUUGACCUCGGAUCAGGUAGGAAGACCCGCUGAACUUAAGCAUAUCAAUAAGCGGAGGA
Molecule: unclassified non-coding RNA, 336 nt
Filed under: soil metagenome
Description: partial contains 5.8S ribosomal RNA, internal transcribed spacer 2, and large subunit ribosomal RNA
Rfam family: 5.8S ribosomal RNA (bases 1-120)
Source: RNAcentral